This 779-nucleotide long non-coding RNA is filed under the name Rattus norvegicus (Norway rat). RNAcentral describes it as "long non-coding RNA NONRATT021779". The record is from RNAcentral. Lineage: Eukaryota; Metazoa; Chordata; Mammalia; Rodentia; Muridae.
CAUACCCCCAUAUUAAAACUAUUGGCUAUAUACUGAUGAAUAUUUGGACGAAAGUCACAAGAGAGAAAAAUGACACUUUUAUAUUCAAAGGGAUGGUUUAUAAAUGAUAAAAACCAAUGCCUAAGCCAAUGUCUCCCGUUCUAAUUCCAUUCUAGUUGUGAGGAAAACCAAACUUCAUCCAGUUACUUUAAGCUGGGGCUCGGUCUUGUUGGAAAUGAACUGAAAUGGUUAGGCUACCAACCCUGACCUCCUACAUCCAAGUCUGAGGUGUCCCACCCAUACCCAUUUCCUCUUUAUUCUACCAAGCUUGCUCUCAGGUGAGUGCCUGCCCUGCAUUUCUGACUCUGGCUUCUCCCCUUCAGCGAGACUGGACUUCUCUGAGCCCAUCUAGGUUUGGGGCUUCCGGUCUGCCCUCCGCUGCCGGAGAGCUUCUGUCUUCUGGCCUCGAGGCCUGUGCAGGGCUCUCAGUGGAGCCAAGCCGGCCACGCCUUCCGUAUCCCUCUUCCCCCACCCGCCGGUGGGUCGCGCAGGUCGCCCUCCACCAGGACCGGCCCCCGCCCACCCGUCCAAGCCCAGCAUCUCCCGCCCUGUCCCCGCCCCGCCUUCCGUACGGCCGCCGCGUCCGCACGCACCCACUCGUUGGCCCGAUGGCCGAAAGUGUACAGAGCCACCUGGCUGGCAACGUCCACGAUGCGAUUGAUGUAGGGGUCGUGGCGCCGCAGGGCUGCCAGGCUGAUAUCGUGUCCCUUCCCAGGCAGGCCACCUGCCGCCGCGGCCGC